RNA transcript from Mus musculus (house mouse), 7622 nucleotides. It is a transcript of the gene named SUMO/sentrin specific peptidase 2, with no coding region annotated. The transcript is spliced from 17 exons. The record is from RefSeq and is marked validated. Lineage: Eukaryota; Metazoa; Chordata; Mammalia; Rodentia; Muridae.
UCCUCCCCUAGCCCGGGGAACGUUAAAUCUGUGGGCCCUCUGAUGGCGUCACAAGUCCGCGCCUGAUCCUGGCUACGGCUGAAGCGGCGAAGGCGGCAGCGGCAGCGGCAGCGGCAGCGGCGACGGCGGCGGCGGCGGCGGCGGCGGCGGCGACAGCUCUGGGGUUCGCGUCUCGGGGUGUGUCGGCCGCCGCUGCUGCUCAGGCCUGGAAUGUACAGAUGGCUGGCUAAGGUUCUCGGCACCAUUCUUCGCUUGUGUGAGCGGCCCGCGCCCGGGGCCCGCGCCCUACUCAAGAGGCGGCGCUCCAGCAGCACUCUGUUUUCUACUGCAGUGGACACUGAUGAGAUCCCAGCCAAAAGGCCAAGAUUAGAUUGCUUUAUUCACCAAGUGAAGAACAGUCUCUACAAUGCUGCCAGUUUAUUUGGAUUCCCGUUCCAGCUGACCACAAAACCCAUGGUGUCUUCUGCUUGUAAUGGAACACGGAAUGUGGCCCCUUCUGGAGAGGUCUUUUCGAACUCUUCAUCUUGUGAGCUGAUGAGUUCUGGAUCCUGCAGCAGCAUGCUGAAACUGGGUAAUAAAUCUCCUAAUGGAAUAAGCGACUAUCCAAAGAUCAGAGUGACAGUGACCCGCGAUCAGCCACGGAGAGUCCUGCCCUCCUUUGGUUUUACGCUGAAAUCGGAAGGCUAUAAUAGAAGGCCAAGUGGUCGUCGCCAUAGCAAAAGCAAUCCAGAGAGUUCCUUAACAUGGAAGCCUCAGGAGCAAGGUGUGACAGAGAUGAUUUCUGAAGAGGGUGGCAAGGGUGUGAGGCGUCCCCACUGCACCGUGGAGGAGGGUGUCCAAAAGGAUGAAAGAGAAAAGUAUCGAAAGUUAUUGGAGCGACUUAAAGAAGGUGCUCAUGGAAGCACGUUCCCUCCCACGGUUUCACACCACAGUUCUCAGAGAAUUCAGAUGGACACAUUAAAGACCAAAGGCUGGGUGGAGGAGCAGAAUCAUGGCGUCAGAACAACCCAUUUUGUUCCAAAACAGUAUAGAGUUGUUGAAACAAGAGGACCUCUCUGUUCAAUGAGAAGUGAAAAGAGGUAUUCAAAAGGGAAAGCUGAUACAGAGAAGGUGGUGGGACUCCGAUUUGAAAAGGAAGGUAAUGGGAUAGUCUUACACGCAUUCACGACCGGCCAGGAAGAACACAGCAAACCAGAAUCUUCUGCGGCAAAACUUUAUUGCUUACAUCUUCAGGAGUAAGAGAGCAAGAGUGCAAGAGUGCAAGAGUGCAAGAGAGAGAGCAAGAGAGAGAAAAAGAACAAGAAAGCAAGAGAAAGAAUGGCAAAACCCCGUCCCUUUUAAGGAGAAUUAUCCUCCGCCUAGGACGUAUUACUCCCUGAUUGGCUGCAGCCCAUCGGCCCAGUUGUCAUCACGGGAAAGGCAGAACACGUGGCGGGAAAACUGCCCCUGCACGUGUGCAGAUUAUGUUUACUACUUAGAACACAGCUGUCAGCGCCAUCUUAUAAUGGCAAAUGUGAGGGCGGCUUCCCACAGAUCCCCCUUUUCUUUUAAUAAGAGCAAUAGGCCACCCAUAUUAAUGAGAGUGGAGAUAGAGGUCAAAUCCCCAGUGUGCAGGUAAAGGAGCCAUGUACAGGAUUAGCUCUUAGGCUCACAGGCUUUUACCCAGAGCAACCCUGACCUGCUCCCGUGUCGUUUUUCCUGGGGGAAGGGAACUAGGACACUGAACCUUCUUGAAAAAUGACAUGUCUCCCUAGAAUAGGCUCAUAUAUGCCGCAGAGCCCUUCUACUGCAGUGCUUAGCCGUGCAACUCUCUCGGGCUGCUGAAGCACACUCACUCUAUCCCGUGCAAUGAGACUAGCCUCGUGGGGUGCAAGAGCUGAAUGGCCAGCGACCUAUUGCUUAAGCAUAGAUAUAUCAGGGGAAGCACCAUGUUCUAGAGCUGCAAGUGCCUGGGCAAUAACCACCUUGUCUCUCCUAGUUUGGGCCUUAAGCUUACAGACCAACCAGAGAAGCAACACUAAUCCACAGCAAAGUGUAUCUCCAAAUAAUAUCAAUCCCACCCAUUCUUUAAAGAAGGAAAAUGCUGAGGAGAUCCAAUUGGGUAAUCCUUUGGUCAGGGACAGGUCCAAGCGCGUGGAGUUGACCUGAAUGAUGGCAAGUCUCAAUUCCCGAAGGGUCUGUUCAAAUUCAGCCGUCCAAUUCUGUAACAUAUACUGAGAAAGACUUUUUGACAAAUUAGCUGCCCUAGUAAAUUUCUCAUUCUGAAUGGAAGUAACGCACAAUGAGGGGUCCCCCAAGCUCCCGACAAAUCCUGAGCCAGUCUUGUAAACCUUUGUUCUUUCUUGGGGCUAUGGCCGCUCUGCAUUCCUGCGUGGCUUGCUCAUAAAUAAGCUAUUCUACCAGAGGUGCGGCUUGCUCUGAAUCUCCAAAAAUAUGCUCUGCUGCCUCUGUCAUUCUGGCCACAAAAUCUGAGAAGGACUCCUGAGGUCCCUGGACGAUCUUUGUUAGUUGUCCAGUGGCUUCACCUGCUUGGGAGAGCGCCUUCCAGGCCCUAAUAGCCUUUUCAUCUGAUUCAGAACUACUAAGAACUGGCUCCUUGAGCUCAUCUAGUGAUGAGUAUAGGCUCCUUCUCCUAGAGACCUCCGCUAAUUGAUCUUUUUUCUUUUCCUUCCUUCUAAUCUCUCCCCAGGUAUUCUUACCUGACCUAAACUUUUCCUCGGGUUCAAGACCCGUGGAAAGGCCUGUAUACUUAUUUUGUGUACCAUAUUUCCUCUUUGCUCCUACUCUCUCUCCCCGCUUUACUUCUGAUAGAUUGCCCUGAAUUUCAUCCAGAAUUUUCAGCCCUGCCUUAACCGCUUGAUAACAUGUGAAAAGGAACAAAAAGGCUCCUAACACUAGAGAAAGUUCAAGGCCAAACAUACCUUGUAAAGCUAUUUCCCACUUUACUUCUGAUAGACUGUCUUGAAUUUCGUUAGAAAGUUCAAGGCCAGACGUACCUUGUAAAGCUAUUUCCCACUUUACUUCUGAUAGACUGUCUUGAAUUUCGUUAGAAAGUUCAAGACCAGACGUACCUUGUAAAGCUAUACUUACGGGUACCCUGUUCCCCAGCUGAAGAGUUCUGAAUUCACGCAGUUGAAUCCUUCUCAACAGUCUGUUUUGCGGGAACACUUCAUUACCAUGACCCGCAGUUCUGGUUCCGGAAUGAGGGAUCUUCCUUGCGCCGGUGAUGGUAACCGUCCCAGGUUUUCUCGUCCCAGGUCUUCUCAUCCUGGGUCUUCUCGUCCCGGGUUUUCUCGUCCCAGGUCUUCUCGUCCCGGGUCUCAGCACCAACUCUUACACGCAUUCACGACCGGCCAGGAAGAACACAGCAAACCAGAAUCUUCUGCGGCAAAACUUUAUUGCUUACAUCUUCAGGAGUAAGAGAGCAAGAGAGCAAGAGUGCAAGAGUGCAAGAGAGAGAGAGAGCAAGAGAGAGAAAAAGAACAAGAAAGCAAGAGAAAGAAUGGCAAAACCCCGUCCCUUUUAAGGAGAAUUAUCCUCCGCCUAGGACGUAUUACUCCCUGAUUGGCUGCAGCCCAUCGGCCCAGUUGUCAUCACGGGAAAGGCAGAACACGUGGCGGGAAAACUGCCCCUGCACGUGUGCAGAUUAUGUUUACUACUUAGAACACAGCUGUCAGCGCCAUCUUAUAAUGGCAAAUGUGAGGGCGGCUUCCCACAGGAUAGGAACUGAAAAUGUUUCCCUUCCUAGUUCCAGAGGAAUGGUGUUUCUGUUUGUAACUGAUCUGCCCUGUGGGUCUAUGUUUGACUCUGAAGCUUAUGUUCACCUUUACCAGGGCGGGCGGGCAGGUCUGUUUCACCAUCAGGACAGCUGCUAAAUCUCAUAGUCAUUGUCUCUCUUCACGGCAAUGAUAGACUUUUACAUUUUUUAAAAAAUUUCAUAAACCUUGUUAAAAAACAUCACACACCAAAGCUGACUAGACCCUAAAUCUGCAUGUCAGUGGGCUGUGCAGUAGAGGAGCUCCUUGGGAUGGAAGCCGUGGGGCAUCACGUGGGGUCUUACCUGUCACUAUCCAGUAUAUCUUUAUGCACGUAUUCACUACCCAAUGUGGAGUUCCAUAGUGGAGUUAAAACUAGAAAAUAGUUUCUUCCAUAACUUGUACAGUGUUUUCUCUUCUGUAUGCACUGUUGCAUUAUGUGUACAAAAUCAAGCAUUGUCAAUGUUGGAACUUUUUUGGUCAGACAAGAGGACACCAAAUGGAGCCUGAUCUGUCAGAAGAAGUGUCUGCCCGACUUCGUCUAGGAAGUGGAAGCAAUGGCUUACUCAGAAGGAAAAUAUCAGUGCUUGAGAUAAAGGAAAAGAACUUCCCGAGCAAAGAGAAGGACAGAAGAACGGAAGACCUCUUUGAAUUUACAGAGGACAUGGAAAAGGAAAUCAGUAAUGCCCUGGGCCACGGCCCACCAGAUGAGAUUUUGAGCAGCGCUUUCAAGUUGCGAAUCACCCGCGGAGACAUCCAGACCUUAAAGAACUAUCAUUGGCUCAACGAUGAGGUCAUUAAUUUUUAUAUGAAUCUUUUAGUGGAAAGGAGUAAAAAGCAAGGUUAUCCAGCACUUCAUGCAUUCAGUACAUUCUUCUAUCCUAAGCUAAAGUCUGGAGGUUACCAAGCAGUGAAAAGAUGGACCAAAGGGGUAAAUCUCUUCGAACAAGAACUUGUUCUGGUACCUAUUCAUCGGAAGGUACAUUGGAGCCUGGUGGUGAUGGACCUAAGAAAAAAGUGUCUUAAAUAUCUGGAUUCUAUGGGACAAAAAGGCCACAGGAUCUGUGAGAUUCUUCUUCAGUAUUUACAGGAUGAAAGCAAGACCAAAAGAAAUACAGAUCUCAACCUCUUAGAGUGGACCCACUACAGCAUGAAGCCACAUGAGAUUCCUCAGCAGUUGAAUGGGAGUGACUGUGGAAUGUUUACUUGUAAAUAUGCAGAUUAUAUUUCUAGGGACAAACCUAUCACAUUCACUCAGCACCAGAUGCCUCUCUUCCGGAAGAAGAUGGUGUGGGAGAUCCUUCACCAGCAGUUGCUGUGACAAUGCCCCGCCUGGUCUUCUAGCUGCUGGUGGUUCUUUGAUGGAUGUUUCCAUAUACCUCAUGCAUUGUGGGUUAAAAAGUCCCCGAUCAUUUCUCUUCUCUCACAGGUACUGAGCUCUCAAGAGUGCAUGAAGGCCUCUCCACAAUGGCCCUGACUAGAGGUGUGGAGGGGCUGCUUGAAACCCUGUUUCUAAGGCUGUGCCUGCUCAGAGCCCUGGACUAUUCACCCCAUACAAGAACAAAUGCUAAUUAAUGUGUUUUGUUUUAAAGCGUUAUUUCCAUAUGAAUGUGGGAAAUGCAGGAUCUGUUAUAUGAAUUGUUCUGUGUGUUCACACGAAUUCACUCUCUCAUUGGGCAGUGCCCUUUUCCCACUGCUCUUUUAUAAUUAGCUAUAAAUAAUUUGGACUAUUUAUUUCUGAAAAGAAUGUUAAUCAAACUGCCACUUCCUGCUGCAGAGAGAUAUCAGCAGGGGGAGGAAGGAGGUGUUCGCUAGCUUCUCUAAUGCUGGAGUGCGAACUGCCGACAUACAGUUAAGGUUCUCUCUUUUAAGGCUUGAAAAUGCCAGAAGAAAUGACGAUGCUCUGUUGUAGGAUCUGGCUGCCUUUUAGAGAGUCUGAUGCUAUGACACGGGCACAGUUCGUGGAAAUGUGGCCAAGGAACUCGAUCUGUGCAUCCUCAGAACGGGGCGUGCGCAUCUUAGAGACUUUCUUUUCUAGAACCGAAGUAGCUUGGCUUCCUCUUGAAACUGGAUUCAAAGUAACUGUGAGCAUCCAUGUUAAGUCGUAGGUCUGGUGAGUGAGUGUGUGAGCCUCACCAGGGAAGGGCUGGCCUGAGCUGUCUGCUCUGAAGAUGCUCCUCAAUGGAAGCCUAUUUUUCCUCAGAGUUUUUUUUUUUUUUAAUAUAUAUAUAUAUAAAGCUGAAAUUAAGUUCUUGGCUCAUCAGCAUGCCCCACUCCAGCCCCACUGAGCCUUUGGAGAGAGAUUAGUACUUGGCUCUGAGGUUGCCAGGUUUACAGGCAUCUAUUUUGCAUAUGAAAGUUUGUAUUUAACUUUUUUGUUCAUUAAAAAUCUUACAGGUGUGGUUAUGCAUUGUCAAUUUCAGAAAGUUGGUCAGAGCACAUUUUGCAAGAUCUAGUGCCUAGUGUUGCUUUUAUGACGUAAUAAAAGACUGGCAGAACCUAGAGUAUAUUCUGAUAAUUUUUCCUCUUUUCUCUGCCUCAACCUUCCAAAGUUGUUCUGGUACAAAAAGAGAGAGAAAGAGAGAGAUAAAAUUAGAAAAGCUGCACACAUGUUAGAUACAAACGUACACGUCUGCUCUUGGGACGCCUGGGCAGCUGAUCAGAGGUUGUAGCUGUUGAAACCUGUUUGCUCUGAGACUUGAAAUGACCUUCGUUAUGGAAGCUGGGCCUGUGAUGGGGACUGAAAUGGCUGAGCCAACCCGAGACCAGGUGGCCUAAACCUGAAAGCGAGCAUGUGGUCUAACAAUUCAGGGGUAAACGGUGUUGUAACCUCCUCAAGGCAGACUACACAGGGACCCCUUCCUUUAUUUAGCCUAGACCCCCCCCCCCCCCAAGCACUGUGCCAGUGAUGCCGGGAUCAGGCAGCUGGUCUAACCAAAAGAGCCCAGAAGUUGAUCCUGUCUACACUACUAAAACCUGGGUGCUAGAAUUCUACCUGAGAAUUUAUGAUCCCGGCCUAUCAAACAAAAUAGCUACCUGACCAGAGUUUGAUCCCCAGUGCCCACACUGGAGGGCGAAAACUGACUCCCCAAAAUUGUCCUCAGACCUCCAUACUUGCACAAACCAACAGAUGGACCAAAUUAGUAAUAAGUAAAAAAAAAUUAAAGGAAUUUUAAGGGCCUUGGAUAGGUUUGUUUCUGUUGGCUCAGUCCUGCUUGGAUGGCGACUUUCUCUCCCCAGGUGAGUGAUGCUAUAGCUAAUGUGGCAUUUGAAGGUGUCCUCAAGCUCGCCACCCGGGUGUGCUUAGAACAGGAACCUGGAGAGACAGAUGGUUGGGUGGUGAGGCCAGGAUUGACUUUUAGUCUCAGCCAGGUGUGUCUGUAACAAGCUGGAUCCCUGCUCACAUCUGUAAUCCCAGUUCCCAGUGGGGAGAGGCAGGGUCGGUAGAUCCUUCCUGGGAGGAGCAGGAAGAGUGAUGGAGAACAACUUCCCUCUCCCAUGUCUGCUCAUAAGCGCAUCCACCACAUUCCUGUGCACACACAGUAAGUUCUUAUAGAAGAUGGAAAAUGCAAAAGUACAGAAUGUUAAGCUAUGGUGGCACUGCUUUACCUGAGUGUCUGAAUCCAAGCUAAGGUACCAGAAGCCCCAGCUCUCUGUCACCUGUGUGCGCACGGGUAACAGAACUGUUACAUUGAGCUUAUGAGAAGAAUACAGAUAAGUGAGAAACAGCACUUGGUGUAACUAGUGAGUCGGCAAAAUUAAAGCCGGUAAUGUUUUUGUGAAAUUUCAAUUUUGGAACCUGAAAGAAAUGUUGCAUUGUUCUGUUUAGCCCAUAGUCUCUAAAAAUGAGUAAAAGUUUAAGAAAUA